GUGCUCAUUUAGGCAGCACAUAUACUAAAAUUGGAACAAUACAGAGAUUAGCAUGAUCCUUCACAAAGAAAGAAGAAGUCUUGCAAAAUUUC
This 92-nucleotide small nuclear RNA is filed under the name Sciurus vulgaris (Eurasian red squirrel). The record is from RNAcentral. Lineage: Eukaryota; Metazoa; Chordata; Mammalia; Rodentia; Sciuridae.